UGGGUCUCGCUCGUUACCUGACUUAACAGGAUGCUUCACAGUACGAACUGACGACGGCCAUGCACCACCUCUCAGCUAAUCCGGCAAAGUCUUCAGCCUGGCCUUCAUAUUGCUGUCGGUCCCGGUAAGAUUUCCGGCGUUGAAUCCAAUUAAACCGCAAGCUCCACCCGUUGUGGUGCUCCCCCGCCAAUUCCUUUAAGUUUCAGCCUUGCGGCCGUACUUCCCAGGUGGCUCGCUUCACGGCUUCCCUACGGCACCGACAACGGUCGCACCGUGGCCGACACCUAGCGAGUAUCGUUUACGGCUAGGACUACCCGGGUAUCUAAUCCGGUUCGUGCCCCUAGCUUUCGUCCCUUGCCGUCAGGUCCGUUCUGGUGAGACGCCUUCGCCACUGGUGGUCCUUCAAGGAUUACAAGAUUUCACCCCUAACCCCUGAAGUACCUCUCACCUCUCCCGGCCUCGAGCCAGACAGUAUCUCCUGAAAGCCUGACAGUUAAGCUGCCAGAUUUCUCAAGAGACUUAUCCGGCCGGCUACAGACCCUUUAGACCCAAUAAUAACGGUUACCACUCGAGCCGCCGGUGUUACCGCGGCGGCUGGCACCGGUCUUGCCCGGCCCUUGCUAUGAAAUGCUUUUUAGGCAUCUCGACAGCCAGAUUUGUAACCUGGCACUCGAGGUUCCCUUAUCGCUGUUGCCAGCAUUGUAAAGUUUUCGCGCCUGCUGCACCCCGUAGGGCCUGGAUUCGUGUCUCAGAAUCCAUCUCCGGGCUCUUGCUCUCACAACCCGUACCCGUCGUAGGCUAGUAGGUACGCUACACCCACUACUACCUGAUAGGCCGCAGACCCAUCCUUAGGCGCCGGAGCUUUUAAUCUCGGUGCAUUCCAGCAGCCGAGACUUAUAGGGGAUUAUACCCAGUUUCCCGGGUUUAUACCCAACCUAAGGGCAGGUUGUCCACGUGUUACUGAGCAGUACGCCAUGUAUUGCUACAUUCGACUCGCAUGGCUUAGUCGAACCUCGAUAGCAGUAACCUCUGGCAGGAUCAACCGG
RNAcentral lists this ribosomal RNA (1046 nucleotides) under unidentified archaeon. RNAcentral describes it as "16S ribosomal RNA". The record is from RNAcentral.